This is a non-coding RNA of Trichoderma asperellum CBS 433.97, 131 nucleotides long. The record is from the annotation of a RefSeq genome assembly. Lineage: Eukaryota; Fungi; Ascomycota; Sordariomycetes; Hypocreales; Hypocreaceae.
GGAUCGAUAGCUCAGUGGUAGAGGUUAGUACUAGUUCUUGCAUCAAGCCGUUUCUACCGAAAUAUAUUAACAAAUUCGUCAGCGAGAGAUUGCAGAUCUCUAGGUCACGCGUUCGAUCCGCGUUCGGUCCU